RNAcentral lists this ribosomal RNA (253 nucleotides) under uncultured bacterium. RNAcentral describes it as "partial 16S ribosomal RNA". It matches the Rfam family "Bacterial small subunit ribosomal RNA", at positions 524 to 776 of the family's 1533-position model. The record is from RNAcentral.
UACGAAGGGGGCUAGCGUUGCUCGGAAUCACUGGGCGUAAAGCGCACGUAGGCGGAUUGUUAAGUCAGGGGUGAAAUCCUGGAGCUCAACUCCAGAACUGCCUUUGAUACUGAAGAUCUUGAGUUCGGGAGAGGUGAGCGGAACUGCGAGUGUAGAGGUGAAAUUCGUAGAUAUUCGCAAGAACACCAGUGGCGAAGGCGGCUCACUGGCCCGAUACUGACGCUGAGGCACGAAAGCGUGGGGAGCAAACAGG